This 302-nucleotide ribosomal RNA is filed under the name uncultured bacterium. Its description in RNAcentral is "partial 16S ribosomal RNA". It matches the Rfam family "Bacterial small subunit ribosomal RNA", at positions 508 to 807 of the family's 1533-position model. The record is from RNAcentral.
GCAGUAGCCGCGGUAAAACAGAGGGUGCGAGCGUUAAUCGGAUUUACUGGGCGUAAAGCGUGCGUAGGCGGCUUCUUAAGUCGGAUGUGAAAUCCCUGAGCUUAACUUAGGAAUUGCAUUCGAUACUGGGAAGCUAGAGUAUGGGAGAGGAUGGUAGAAUUCCAGGUGUAGCGGUGAAAUGCGUAGAGAUCUGGAGGAAUACCGAUGGCGAAGGCAGCCAUCUGGCCUAAUACUGACGCUGAGGUACGAAAGCAUGGGGAGCAAACAGGAUUAGAUACCCCAGUAGUCCCUGUCUCUUAUAC